UUCUGGCUCAGGAUGAACGCUGGCGGCGUGCCUAACACAUGCAAGUCGAGCGAUUACUUCGGUAAAGAGCGGCGGACGGGUGAGUAACGCGUGGGUAACCUGCCUCAUACACAUGGAUAACAUACCGAAAGGUAUGCUAAUACAGGAUAAUAUAAGAGAUUCACAUGGAUUUCUUAUCAAAGCUCCGGCGGUAUGAGAUGGACCCGCGUCUGAUUAGCUAGUUGGUAAGGUAAUGGCUUACCAAGGCGACGAUCAGUAGCCGACCUGAGAGGGUGAUCGGCCACAUUGGAACUGAGACACGGUCCAAACUCCUACGGGAGGCAGCAGUGGGGAAUAUUGCACAAUGGGCGAAAGCCUGAUUGCAGCAACGCCGCGUGAGUGAUGAAGGCCUUCGGGUCGUAAAACUCUGUCCUCAAGGAAGAUAAUGACGGUACUUGAGGAGGAAGCCCCGGCUAACUACGUGCCAGCCGCCGC
This 474-nucleotide ribosomal RNA is filed under the name uncultured bacterium. RNAcentral's name for it is "bacterial SSU rRNA". It matches the Rfam family "Bacterial small subunit ribosomal RNA", at positions 17 to 518 of the family's 1533-position model. The record is from RNAcentral.